UAUCGUCAACAUGGCUGACAUCAAACGUUUUGUAAAACGCAUUGCGCUCUUUCUGGUAUUCGCAGCUGCGAACCUGUUCGCUGUUUCUGAGGCCCAGCUGACGUUCUCUUCUGGGUGGGGAAAGCGUUCUAGAGAUGAUGAGAUCGCCAUUAACCUUGAUGAACAGCUGCUGCAGUAAACGACCCAUGGCUUGACACAGGAUUUAGAUAAAUGUAACCAGUAUUAACCAACCAGGAAGUUAUCAUCAUUUUUGUUGCCCGUAUAUUAUAUUAAAAUGAGAAAAAUUGAAAAAGAAAAAAACUUUUCGAAAUGUCUGACACAUAUACUUCAUCACAGCCCAAGAAUAUCUAAAAGGACAUAUAUAUCUAAAACAUUUAGAGAUAAAUAGUAUAGUAUAUUUCGACUACAGGACACUAUAACUCUGGGGUUAGAUAUGCUAUAUUUUUUGACAUUUAGCAACUCACAGUUGCCACGACGUCGUGCAGUUGCCGAUUUAAAUUUGCCGUCUUCUUGACAAAAAAUUACGGUUGGUCUUAUUUUAAGAUGUCAGAUCAGGACAAAACGACUCUGGUUCUAAAAAUGAUACGAGUAUCGUUUUCAAGCACAGACGAGUAAAACAAU
Pararge aegeria (speckled wood butterfly) is the source of this 621-nucleotide long non-coding RNA. RefSeq lists it as uncharacterized. The transcript has 2 exons. The record is from RefSeq and is a predicted model, not a curated record. NCBI's taxonomy places the organism in Eukaryota, Metazoa, Arthropoda, Insecta, Lepidoptera, Nymphalidae.